GUGGGGAAUAUUGGACAAUGGGCGAAAGCCUGAUCCAGCAAUGCCGCGUGAGUGAUGAAGGCCUUAGGGUUGUAAAGCUCUUUUACCCGGGAUGAUAAUGACAGUACCGGGAGAAUAAGCCCCGGCUAACUCCGUGCCAGCAGCCGCGGUAAUACGGAGGGGGCUAGCGUUGUUCGGAAUUACUGGGCGUAAAGCGUACGUAGGCGGCUUUGUAAGUUAGAGGUGAAAGCCCGGGGCUCAACUCCGGAAUUGCCUUUAAGACUGCAUCGCUUGAAUCAUGGAGAGGUUAGUGGAAUUCCGAGUGUAGAGGUGAAAUUCGUAGAUAUUCGGAAGAACACCAGUGGCGAAGGCGACUAACUGGACAUGUAUUGACGCUGAGGUACGAAAGCGUGGGGAGCAAACAGGAUUAGAAACCCCAGUAGUCCC
Molecule: ribosomal RNA, 426 nt
Filed under: uncultured bacterium
Lineage: Bacteria
Description: bacterial SSU rRNA
Rfam family: Bacterial small subunit ribosomal RNA
Source: RNAcentral